This 319-nucleotide long non-coding RNA is filed under the name Cricetulus griseus (Chinese hamster). RNAcentral's name for it is "lncRNA (ENSCGRG00000025204.1)". Lineage: Eukaryota; Metazoa; Chordata; Mammalia; Rodentia; Cricetidae. The record is from RNAcentral.
GUGCUUUGUUGGAAUGGGAUCCUGGAAGUGGACUUGAAAUGUUGAGAUCCACCAGGUCAGCCCCUUCAGAAACUUCAAGCCUAAUUUUACCAUUGCCUAUGAUCCUGGAAACCACAUAUAAAAUGAUUGUAAUCUACUGCAGAAAAGCUGAAAGAUACAAUGUCAGACUAAGGAAUAUCAGAUUAGAACACCAAGAAGCAUUAAUCUGCAAUGAAGAUGAUGGCUACAGAGAAAUGCCCCCAAGGAAGAAGAAGAAACAUCUCUUAUUUAACUGCUCAUGAAAGAAGUACAGAGAAGGCUGGUGCCUUGUAGUCCCCUG